AAAUUCAUUUGCCUUCUUUGUAAAAAAAUAUUCAGCUUUAAUUGAAAUCACAGAGAAACGCAAUGGAAGGUUAUGGGCCAAGGAACCGCAUUGACCAGUUUAGAGACUGGCAAGUUUAUAUAUGGACCAGUUAUUUAUAAUGGUAGAUCAUCUGAUGGCAUUAUCUGCUUUACAUGAUCAGCAUGCAGUCCAUUUACAAUUGCUUAAUUAUGUUUCCAAGGAAAUACAUUGGAUGGAUGUGUGCCAAGCAACCACAUAGGUCAUUUCAGAGACUAAUUGAAGAAAGAUCCGAUCUUUCAUUUGAGAUGUUCAUCAUCUCUGAAGCAUGAAGAAAGAUCCAAGAAAUUUUAUGUAUCUUGAUAAUUUUGCAAUGUUGCGUACAAUGUGCAACAGUUUGGAGCUCUGGCAGCACACAUUGGAGAUAAUGCUCUUCUUUCAGGUGCAAUACAUGAGAAGAGUUUUUGUCAAUGGAACUAUUCCCAGCUAAAUAGGUCAAUGCACCUGUCCAGCAAAUAUAAUUAAUCUACAGCAAGUGAGUCCAGCUAAAGGUCAAACGAGCAAAAAUCCCAGAUUGAUGAGCCAAAUAGUUCAUGUGGAAAAAUAUAUUUUGUGUCUAGGCGUGGCCACGAACCUGACGUAAAAUAUAGUAGUAGUCAUCUAUUU
Molecule: non-coding RNA, 663 nt
Organism: Lolium perenne
Lineage: Eukaryota; Viridiplantae; Streptophyta; Magnoliopsida; Poales; Poaceae
Source: RefSeq, a predicted model, not a curated record